GGGCCCGCACAAGCGGUGGAGCAUGUGGUUUAAUUCGAUGAUACGCGAGGAACCUUACCAGGGCUUAAAUGUAGUCUGACAGGCGUGGAAACAUGCUUUUCUUCGGACAGAUUACAAGGUGCUGCAUGGUUGUCGUCAGCUCGUGCCGUGAGGUGUCAGGUUAAGUCCUAUAACGAGCGCAACCCCUGUUGUUAGUUGCCAGCGAGUCAUGUCGGGAACUCUAACAAGACUGCCAGUGCAAACUGUGAGGAAGGUGGGGAUGACGUCAAAUCAUCACGGCCCUUACGUCCUGGGCUACACACGUGCUACAAUGGCCGGUAUAGAGGGCAGCCACACCGCAAGGUGGAGCGAA
This 352-nucleotide ribosomal RNA is filed under the name uncultured bacterium. Its description in RNAcentral is "bacterial SSU rRNA". It matches the Rfam family "Bacterial small subunit ribosomal RNA", at positions 917 to 1271 of the family's 1533-position model. The record is from RNAcentral.